Molecule: unclassified non-coding RNA, 3125 nt
Filed under: Neodiprion pinetum (white pine sawfly)
Lineage: Eukaryota; Metazoa; Arthropoda; Insecta; Hymenoptera; Diprionidae
Description: wW domain-binding protein 2, transcript variant X1
Source: RNAcentral
AGCGAUCACAGCGAAUCGGCGAGCACUACUCGAAGCUGACUGUCGGCCUAUCCAACAAAUCGUUGAUCAGCUGAUUGCGUGAUAGGAACAUCGAAGUUCGUGUAACUUUUUUGCGACUUGGCAAGAGCUGAAAUUGUCGAAAAAUGUCUCUAAACACAGCUCAUGCUAACGGGGGGGUCCUCAUACAUUCCGGCGAAUGUAUUCUUCUCUUUUCUGACAAUGUCAUGAUGGAAUUUCACGGACAGGAUCAACCUGAGUUUAUCGGAUCAAAACGAGGCAGACUUUUCUUAACUACACACCGUAUGAUUUUCAACGCAAAGGACCAAAAAGAAAGAAUGCAAUCAUUCAGCUUUCCUUUCAUCACAUUGAGCGACGUGGAAUUAGAACAACCAAUGUUCGGCGCUAAUUACAUAAAAGGAAAAUGCCGAGCUCAACCAAAUGGCAAUUGGACUGGCGAAUGCAAAUUUAAACUUCACUUCAAAAACGGUGGAGCAAUCGAGUUUGGACAAGCAAUGUUAAGGGCUGCUUCUAUGGCAAAUCGCAAUGGUCCUGGUUUCGAUGCACCUCCACCAUAUCAACCGCCAACUUCUGACUGGUACGCCGCACCUCCGCCAGCGUAUCAAGCUGCGCCAGGUGGAUAUUACGGCUGGCAACCUCCGACAAAUGUUUUCCCCGAACAACCACCAGCAAAUGGCGUAUACAUGACGGACUCUCCGCCACCGUAUCCCGGCAUCAAUGGUCCUUAUCAAGGUUACGCCAGCGGCGGAGCUGCGCAACAGCAGCCACAGCCAAGUGCUUGGGGGAAUUCGGCGCAACCAAGCAACUGGGGUCAGCCUCAAUCUAACGGAGCUCCGGGAUGGGCGAACCCAGGCUACAAUCCGCAAUCAAUGUCUCAAGGAGAUGCAAAAGCUGCGGAGGCUGCGCAAAGCGCGUACUAUGAUCCAAAUAGGCCUCAAUGCGCUUACGUUCCACCACCCGCUUACUACGAAAGCCCCCCGAGUUACCAACAGGCAACGGAUAAGAAAGAACAGUGAGACGCGUUUUUAGUGAGGGAUCAUUCGCCACGAUUUCUGUACUAAUAAAGAGCUUUCAAAGUCGUGCUUUAUCCGAAACAAGCACACACAUUCCGAUACCUAGCACCGUUGGAUAUAUAAAAUUCUAAUUUAACACAUCACGCAUUAAACAAUCGAGUUGUUAUUCCAGAUUGUAUUGUGCUCCAUGUUAAUCCUGAAUAUCGUUCUGCACACUCCGACAUAUCUGACUGGAUACAAAGAUGAAACAUUUAUUUGUGAAAGAGGCUCGGAGUGUUUCUACUGUAUAAAGUUGAAGAUGUAGACUGACUGCGUCAAAUUAGCAAUGCAAUCCUUGGAGCUGCGAUGUAAUUUUUAAUACUUUUGCGCCUGUAACAUUUACUUUCUUGUUUGCUUAAGGAUGAGUAGACCGCACUGUCAGAAUUAAAAUUUGGGUGAGUAGGAAGAAAGAAAAAAAAAACGUUUAAUGUUGGGAUAAACUGAUGAAACGCCGUCUUGUUAUAGAAAUGAUUCUGAAAAAAUUCGAAUGACGCAACCUAAGAUAUGAACAAUUUGCCUCGAGAUUUUCUGUAUUUUUUGUAUGUUUUUUACACCAUAUUUGAUGAUCUGGCAGGCAAAAAUAUUAGCCCAAAAACAUUAGAAUCAGUUUAAAAGUAUCAGAGUUUGAUCCUUUCAAAUGUUCUGAUUAUGAGAACCUGUUUUACAAAUUAUGAUAUCUUAGUUUGUGUUAUUCUAAUUAUAAGUUACCCAGAUUCAUUGCUAUCAUGUAGUAGGGAUAUUGUUGCAUUCACUAUCAUUCGCGCAAAUAACAUUCUCGAAGACGUUUGAUUUCUCCGAUUUUUUUCUAUUUUAUAAACUUUAUGUUUAUUCAGACGAUAACGGUCCACUCAAACUUGAGUCAUCGUGAGUGAUUAUUUUCUGUAACAUUCUUCGGUGAAGUGAAUUAAAACAGAUAAUUACGACAUAUUAUGAGUCAUAUAAAACCUUGGAUUGUAUCGAAUUUUGGAUUAUACGUCAUUGUUCUAAAUUCCACGGAAGAAAUUUUCUCAAACUACUUUGACCAUUUGGUGAUUGUGAUAAAACUAGUGUAAUUGACUUCAAUGAUUACGAAUCAGCGAGAAUACGGCAGUAUAUGUUGUAAGCACUUUCGUAUUGUACAGUUAACCAAUGCAGUAUAUGUAUUUACUAAAAUAAAAAGCAGCUUGUGUAAAGUCGGCAGCAAUUUGAAGUUUAUUCUAAAUCCUGUCUGACCUCGAGACAUAAUUUUAAAAAAAUUUUAUCCACAAUAAUCAAGUGUUCAAAUAUUUUAACUCUUAAAGUACUUCUUACUUUUUUUUAAAAUACUUCUCAUGAAAAUUGUUGUUUUUGUGGUAACAUAUUGAAAAUAUUCGUUUUAUAAUUGGAGAUUUCAACAAAAUAGGAAAUUGAGAAGCCAAUUCAAUUCACACAUGAAUUCAUAAUGAAUGUUGAAAAAUUAACUUACCGAAGCUUUCUGAGUUAAUUAAAACCUUUGUUGUCAUAAUAUCCUUCUGUUUGAACUCACGUGCGUUGAAAAUCUCUUGAUUGUGUACAAGUCUGAUAUAAAUUAAAUAUUUUUGAUUGUAUAAACACUUUAUUUGAGUGGCGUACAAUAAUACUUAUGUAUAAUAUAAUUAUUUGUAUAAGAAAAAAUAGUAUCAACAGUUAUAUGGGUAAAAUCAAAGGUCAAAGAUUUUGAUUUUAUAUUAUUACGAUUCUUAAAUUGGAAAAUUUAAGAUAUUAAAAAUUUGUAGCACCGUCAGUCUUUCCAGAUACUGACACAUUUCAUAACGAGUUACAUAAAAUUUGGAAUGGUUCUUUUAACGCCAUUAUUAUACAUAUAAAUACUUACUUAUCAAGAGAUUUGUGAAUAUUUUGUGCAGGCAUACAUUAAAUAUAAAUUUUUCAUUUCACAUUGGUCACACAGUUGACAUAGAUUACAGGUACGUAAACAUACAAGUGUGAUUAAAACAACAGGUAAAGAAACAGGUAUUGUACAAGCCUAUUUGACGGAGACAAUUUCUCGUCACUUAUCGAAUUUUAUACAUAUUUUUCUAGUGAGCAUGUUUUGUUUGA